AUGUGUCUUGCCUCAGCACUGGAGUCUUUCAGUCUGUGUCAGCUGACAUCACUUUAUCAAUCUUCACAAGUUGGCAGAAGUGGCAAGAAGCAGCCAGCCUGCCACCAGAAGUUUUUGGUGAAUUUCUCUCUACGGAGUCAUGACAAUUGGAGCUCAACGAUGCGUGUAAAGCGGACCAAUAGAUGUAUGUCAUCAGGAAGAAUCCUUCAUCACGAGUCCUUUCGUGCGCUUGCUUUAGCAAAACAUCCUCUCACCUGUGUCCAUUUCAGGAAAACACUCCUUCCAUGUGUUUGCCCCAGCAAAAUACCAGCCAACACAACUUUCCAAAGAAACCAGAAGCUUCCACCUCAUUGGACUAUUGAAGCGAGGAUGUUUUUAAGAGAAGCAAACCUGCAGAUUAUCUCACCGAAUUAGUCAGCUUCUAGGCAGGAAACAUGCUACAAUCAACACAAUUUAACGGAAAAGAACACAACUAAGGGACUAUUCACAGGGGCGUUGGCAAGACCGAGGCAACUAGCAACCGUGGGAAGCCAUUCCACCCAGACAGAGUGCUGCAGGGCCAUUGGAAGGAAAAGUGGCCAUUAGCGACCUGCGCCAGCCUGAAGCCGUAGAAGGAAACCUUUUGGACUGUGUGCUUAUUAAAUCUGUCCUUUCUGCCUUCAGGCUUUACCCACCUACAAAACCAUCCUUUAAGUCCUUUUUUAUGAAUCUCAGACCCAGGCAACUGUCCCAUCCUCACCAGGCAACUGCAACGCUCACCAAUUGGAUGACUCUAAAUCUGUCUCCUAUCUUGAGUCUCUCCUGCUCUGCGGGGGACUUCCAAAACAAGUAAAAUCAAAUCAAGCCAAACCCAAACCCAAAAACCCAAAGAAACAAUCCUUUCUUCUACUCCUCCAUUGCACAACGGGUUCACUCCUGCCUUUCUGCCCCUUUCCCUAAUGGGUAAAAGUGUUUCUCAGUGCCAGGCCUGAAGUUCUGCUUUCCUAUUGGCUACUGGCUUUUCUAGUCGUUAAUUAGAUUGAUGUGUCCAUGGUGAAUGUCCCCCUCCUUACCCACCUAAUGAGAGUCCUCAUUCUAUAGACAGUUUGGUCUCAGUGUCUUUCAAUGGCUAAUUGGACUUAGUUCUUUCGAAAUUAAAGAGUCCACAUUAAAUGAUUACAAAUGCUUUCAAUAUUAAUAUGGGUUUUGACCUACUCAAAAUCUGCUUACCUGUGUUCAAAUCCCACCUUACCCUUCCCUUUUACAGCUCACUUUAACCUCCUACGGGACGGCUGUGCUGCCUUCACUUUCUACUAAAAACAUCAGCUCCUCCAUCUUCUUACCCCUGCCUUAACGCUGAAGAGCUCAUACAUUCUUUGCGGAGUGCAGGCUUCUCUCUGCUGCCUCGCCGACGGGCCGAAAGAGAAAUCUUUCCUCCCCAAACCACAUUUCGGAAGAGUAAAGAUUUCCACAACUACACACAUCUCCAACCCAAACUAAAAUGCUGUUGCUUCGCUUCUCUCUCUUGGCUUCAUCUUAACCAUAGGUACAGGAGGGGAGGUCUAUAAAUGCCCAGAACUUCUUAGACUUCACAAGGCAGACUAUUACAAUAGUCAAGAACUUUCAGCAGGGUAUAGGUAUCACAUCCCAUUUAAUCCCAGCAUUCUGGAGGUAAGAGCAGGGUUAUCUGUGAGUCAGAAGUCAGCUUGUUCUACAGAGCAAGUACCAGGACAGUCAGGGGUACAGAGAAAAAAACCCUGUCUGGAAAGACCAAAACCACACUAAACCAAAAUGAACGAACUUUCAAUUAUAUGGGGGUCAAUUAAAUUUACUUCUAGAAGUAGUACUUCAGAACUAUCGGUCUUAGAUUUACAUGUAACUGCUUACAGUAGGACCUGUUUAUCUAUAUCAGAAUCAGUGACAACGAUAGCUUUUUAGAGUCAAAAGUUUUCAACAAGUACAACAAAGUCUCCAGAAAACACUGUGGAGCAGAGGCUGAAGGAAAGGCCAUGCAGAGGCUGCCACACAUGGGGAUCCAUCCCACACGCAGUCACCAAAUCCAGACACUAUUAGGGAUGCCAAGAGGUGCAGACUGACAGGAGCCUGAUAUAGCUGCCUCCUGAGAGGCUCUGCCAGAUCCUGACAAAUACAGAAGUGGAUAAUUGCAGACAAUUAUUGAAUUGAGAACAGGGUCCCCAGUGGAGGGGGGUUAAAGGACUGAGGUAACUGAGGGGCUCUGCAACCCCAUAGGAAGAAAAACAAUAUCAACAAACCAGACGCCCCCAAGCUCCAAGAGAGACUAAACCACCAACCAAUUAUGUAGCACGUGUAGCAGAGGAUGGCCUUGUCCGACAUCAAAGGGAAAACAGACUCUCCUUUGAAGGCUCUAGGCAGGAGUGUAGGGG
Molecule: long non-coding RNA, 2384 nt
Filed under: Rattus norvegicus (Norway rat)
Lineage: Eukaryota; Metazoa; Chordata; Mammalia; Rodentia; Muridae
Description: long non-coding RNA NONRATT006693
Source: RNAcentral